RNAcentral lists this non-coding RNA (30 nucleotides) under Mus musculus (house mouse). The record is from RNAcentral. Lineage: Eukaryota; Metazoa; Chordata; Mammalia; Rodentia; Muridae.
UGCAAAUGUGAAUGACAUUUGUGAAUGCCC